UCCUCUACACUAAGUCCUAGGUGGACGGGUUAGGGGGGUCAUAGUCAGCUGUGGGUGAAAUUGGAGGUGGCAACCUGUAUGUUCUUACUGCCUUCAGGGACAUGGGAUGCAAGAAUUUGACCCGAUAGUGGCCCUCAGCAUGCUGGGACUGGGUCUUCUUGGAGUCGGGUUGCUUGGGAGUGCAGCCCAAAGGUGGUGGUAAACUCCAUCUAAGGCUAAAUACUGGCAUGAGACCAAUAGUCAACAAGUACCAUAAGGGAAAGUUGAAAAGAACUUUGACGUGAGAGUUCAAGCCUUCUGAUCGAGGC
RNAcentral lists this non-coding RNA (308 nucleotides) under Chelonia mydas (Green sea turtle). Its description in RNAcentral is "Eukaryotic large subunit ribosomal RNA". It matches the Rfam family "Eukaryotic large subunit ribosomal RNA", at positions 117 to 411 of the family's 3401-position model. Lineage: Eukaryota; Metazoa; Chordata; Testudines; Cheloniidae. The record is from Rfam by way of RNAcentral.